Molecule: non-coding RNA, 45 nt
Filed under: Schistosoma mansoni
Lineage: Eukaryota; Metazoa; Platyhelminthes; Trematoda; Strigeidida; Schistosomatidae
Source: RNAcentral
AUCUAGCUGAGGAGUCCCAAAUAGGAUGGAACGUGAGUCUUAGAU